This 496-nucleotide ribosomal RNA is filed under the name uncultured bacterium. RNAcentral describes it as "partial 16S ribosomal RNA". It matches the Rfam family "Bacterial small subunit ribosomal RNA", at positions 28 to 507 of the family's 1533-position model. The record is from RNAcentral.
GAUGAACGCUGGCGGCGUGCCUAAUACAUGCAAGUCGAGCGAACGGACGAGAAGCUUGCUUUUCUGAUGUUAGCGGCGGACGGGUGAGUAACACGUGGAUAACCUACCUAUAAGACUGGGAUAACUUCGGGAAACCGGAGCUAAUACCGGAUAAUAUUUUGAACCGCAUGGUUCAAAAGUGAAAGACGGUCUUGCUGUCACUUAUAGAUGGAUCCGCGCUGCAUUAGCUAGUUGGUAAGGUAACGGCUUACCAAGGCAACGAUGCAUAGCCGACCUGAGAGGGGGAUCGGCCACACUGAAAUUAGAACACGGUCCAAACCCCAACGGAGGGCAGCAGUAGGAAUUUUUCCGCAAUGGGGGAAAGCCUGACGGAGCACGCCGCGUGAGUGAUGAAGGUCUUCGGAUCGUAAAACUCUGUUAUUAGGGAAGAACAUAUGUGUAAGUAACUGUGCACAUCUUGACGGUACCUAAUCAGAAAGCCACGGCUAACUACGUG